This is a long non-coding RNA of Neofelis nebulosa (Clouded leopard), 2811 nucleotides long. RefSeq lists it as uncharacterized. The transcript has 3 exons. NCBI's taxonomy places the organism in Eukaryota, Metazoa, Chordata, Mammalia, Carnivora, Felidae. The record is from RefSeq and is a predicted model, not a curated record.
GGCCGACCUUGAACAAAGACAAGGACCACGCGUUUGCUCUGAGUCGUCCCCGCAGGUCCGGAUGGCCAGCUCUGCUCGGGCCACGCCCCGCUGACUCCUGGGGAGUCUCAGAGAGCUGGCCCCGGCCCACGAGAGAGGGAGGAAGUCGCUCCUCGUUUGGUGGGAGAGGAAAAGAGCUUUCAUCUACCUGAGAUUAAAUUAUAGCCAGGAGGCCCCUCUGAACAGGACCAAACUAGAUAACUGAAAACAUGCAGCCCUACUAUAAAUUCCCAGGAUUUGCAGUCUUUCCUGGACUGCUUUAUCCUUGAGAAGCUCUGGGAGUAAUUCUGUUUGAAAGAGAUCUAGGGGCUCCGUGUGAAAGGCUAUGGGCUUCUGGUUAACAGACCGCUUGUUAGCAGAAACCCCCCAGCGCAGAUCCUCGAAUCUUUCCUCCCCGCCUGGCCAGGGGCCCCUGGAGACCAGAGAGGAUCCUUCUCUGCCUGGAAGGAGGCCAAUGAUCCACCCCUGCCCUGCCGCCAGAACUUGCCGGCCCUUGGAGUGACAGGCCACAUGUCCCCGGCCCUACAGCAUUGGACUCAAGCCCUGCUGUGUUCAAGCAGGGUGGAUACUGGCUGGUGGUCAGGGCAAAUGACUUCUAGGAAUGGAAAACGGGGUCCCAAACACCAAAGAUCUUAGAAGGGACUCUGACAUCACAGGGAAUUUGUUGCUCCUCCCUGUCCCCACACCCUGAACUUGACCCUCCCCUCAAAGAACCCAGAGCACAGCUGCAGGAGUCAAAUGAAUCCGAAUCAUAAGGACCAACGAGUGAGAGAGCCAGAGGUGAAAACUUGCUAACUGACAGUCUGUGGGCGCACUUCUGUCCCCCGUCUCUCACCAGGAGGCUUGCUGUCUGGGUGGAAAUAAUGAUUUGAUUUUUUAUCAUUGAUGAGCUCAUGUCUCUCACUCUUCCGCAGCAACCAAAGAAGAAUCUGCAGAUCUGGAGAAAAAUCACAGUCCAUUAAAUCUGCAUCUCUUGAAAGAAAAACCCAGAAGGCCACCUCCCCAUCAAAGGCAAAAUGAACAGAGUUUGGAAGUGUGUUUAAAAUGCGCCAAGGGAGCAGCGGCCGUCCUAAAUUACCCCACUCAGCCUGAGGACGGUUUUGGUUGCCAGGAUCCCCAUGAGACAGAGAAGGAGAGGCCGAUGCCACGUGACCCCAAAGCCGAGCAAAGAGAACACACAACAAGACCGGAGACUCCCCAAAACAUCCUCACAUCACAUUCCUACAUUUUACGGGCUCCUUCUGUAGCCAGACUUAGAUCAGGAAGCGGCCAAGAGGAUAAACUCUUCCCCAGCCAUUCCUUGGAGAAUGGAGGCUAUGCUUUCCAGUAAUAAAACAAAGGUCAGAGAAUGACUUCGAACAAUAGAUCUGCUGUCGUGUGCCAGGCGCUGGGCAACACCGAGGAGCAGGUGUUUUCCUCCCCAUUUUACUGCCGUGGAAAGUUCUUUCCAUCCCAUUUCCUGCCUCCCGAGCUGCCUUAGGCUUCUGUGAGCCAGAGGCAGGCGGGCAGACUGCACCUGGUCAUGUGCACACCUGAGCAGAGAACCCUGGGACUUCAGAAGCCACACUACCCACUUAAGCCCUGCCCAGCCCAGCCCAGGGCAGAGCGGGUCUACUGGAACAUCUCCUUCCCUUUACCCAAGCUCAUGGCGACGUCAGCUUAUCUGUGCCUAUGCUCCAGCUGUACCCAAUCCAGUGAUACACAGGAAAUACCCCUACCCAAGAAGACUUGCUUAGCACCUUUCAAUGGGGGUGACCCAUCAUGUUCUCUUUGGGGAGGGAGCCCCAUAGCCAAAUGGGAGAGUGCUCCAUCCAGACAGAGCCCUCCACUCAAUCCCCGGAACCAGCUAGUGGCCAUGAGCCUCCAGCUCGCAAGCUCAAACCAAGCUGGGGGGAUGUCCCACAGCAACAAUGUAGGAAAGAGACUUCAGCGGAAGACACGGAUUCAACCACAGCAUCGGUCUCUGUUUUGUCGGAACACCGAGGGCUCUCCAGAAGGAAGCCCAUUAAGUUUGCAUUUUCCAUCAUGGAGCAAGUAAACAAACCCGAGGAAGAGCUGCCCAUCACUGAGCUGGCUUCCCGACAGGAAAUGGUAUGAGUGACUUCGUUUUUAAACAUUAUUAUCCUCUUGAAAGCAAAAGAUAAAGGACGCCUCGGAGCAGCCAAAUUGCUUUGGCUCAAAAAUCAUUUUAAAUACCAUUUCCUUUAACAAGCCUACUGCCUGGGCAACGGAUCAACACUAUUCAUUUUAACCUUAGUCAGUGGGGGAAAAAAAACCCACAUCUCUGAAGUGUUUGUAAUUAUUUAGCUCUUUCACUUUCUCCACACCCAGAUACGUUAACUAAUGACCAAAGCAACGCACAUGCAGGUCCUAUUUCAAACAGCGGAAUGGAGCGUUCAGUAGAGCACACCCAGGGGCCGUUUUCUCCCCGUGGCCGCUCCAAGCCCAAACACGGGAGAUCGAGGCCUAUUUUCGGCAGUUCCCAGCAAGGGCCCGAGACGUCCUUCACCUCUGUUGCUUUGUGUCUGUGAAAGUCCCGAGCUCGAGUGGGAGCUCACCUUUGCCCUUAAGAUGAACAGGCACUGGGAGACCCUCCUCGAAAUGUCUUUAUGAACAGGAAAGAUGGCGGACAGAGUCAGUCUGCCUCUUCCUGGGGCCGGUCAAGUGCAGAGCGGUGCAGGCAAAGGCGGGGGUGGCCAGGGCAACCUCUCAGGGUGCCGUGCAGACAGAAGCUCAGUAUGUGAAAGAAAUGCUUGGAGGAUUUCAGAUGUG